This 478-nucleotide ribosomal RNA is filed under the name uncultured bacterium. Its description in RNAcentral is "partial 16S ribosomal RNA". It matches the Rfam family "Bacterial small subunit ribosomal RNA", at positions 28 to 507 of the family's 1533-position model. The record is from RNAcentral.
GAUGAACGCUGGCGGCGUGCCUAACACAUGCAAGUCGAACGGGGUCCCGCCUUAGAGACCUUCGGGUCAAAGAGGGGAAGACUGAGUGGCGGACGGGUGAGUAACACGUGGGCAACCUGGCUCAUAGAGGGGGAUAACAGAGAGAAAUUUCUGCUAAUACCGCAUAAGCACUCACUGCCGCAUGGCAGAGUGUGAAAAGAGAAUCGCUAUGAGAUGGACCCGCGUCUGAUUAGCCAGUUGGCAGGGUAAGAGCCUACCAAAGCGACGAUCAGUAGCCGAUUUGAGAGGAUGAACGGCCACAUUGGGACUGAGACACGGCCCAAACUCCUACGGGAGGCAGCAGUGGGGGAUAUUGCACAAUGGGGGGAACCCUGAUGCAGCGACGCCGCGUGAGUGAAGAAGUAUUUCGGUAUGUAAAGCUCUAUCAGCAGGGAAGAUAAUGACAGUACCUGAAUAAGAAGCCCCGGCUAACUACGUG